Molecule: transfer RNA, 67 nt
Filed under: Dichotomius schiffleri
Lineage: Eukaryota; Metazoa; Arthropoda; Insecta; Coleoptera; Scarabaeidae
Description: tRNA-Ser
Source: RNAcentral
AAUUAAUGAACUUGUAUAAGUAUAUAUUUUGAAAGUAUAAAAAAGAGUUAAAACACUCUAUUAAUUU